Molecule: non-coding RNA, 72 nt
Organism: Heteronotia binoei (common prickly gecko)
Lineage: Eukaryota; Metazoa; Chordata; Lepidosauria; Squamata; Gekkonidae
Source: the annotation of a RefSeq genome assembly
GGGCCUGUAGCUCAGUGGUAGAGCAUCUGUUUGACACACACAAGGCCCCAGGUUCAAUCCCUGGCAUCUCCA